RNAcentral lists this ribosomal RNA (443 nucleotides) under Achromobacter sp. CCUG 44449. Its description in RNAcentral is "bacterial SSU rRNA". It matches the Rfam family "Bacterial small subunit ribosomal RNA", at positions 30 to 469 of the family's 1533-position model. Lineage: Bacteria; Pseudomonadati; Pseudomonadota; Betaproteobacteria; Burkholderiales; Alcaligenaceae. The record is from RNAcentral.
UGAACGCUAGCGGGAUGCCUUACACAUGCAAGUCGAACGGCAGCACGGACUUCGGUCUGGUGGCGAGUGGCGAACGGGUGAGUAAUGUAUCGGAACGUGCCUAGUAGCGGGGGAUAACUACGCGAAAGCGUAGCUAAUACCGCAUACGCCCUACGGGGGAAAGCAGGGGAUCGCAAGACCUUGCACUAUUAGAGCGGCCGAUAUCGGAUUAGCUAGUUGGUGGGGUAACGGCUCACCAAGGCGACGAUCCGUAGCUGGUUUGAGAGGACGACCAGCCACACUGGGACUGAGACACGGCCCAGACUCCUACGGGAGCCAGCAGUGGGGAAUUUUGGACAAUGGGGGAAACCCUGAUCCAGCCAUCCCGCGUGUGCGAUGAAGGCCUUCGGGUUGUAAAGCACUUUUGGCAGGAAAGAAACGUCAUGGGCUAAUACCCCGUGAAA